RNAcentral lists this ribosomal RNA (698 nucleotides) under Wautersiella sp. RNAcentral describes it as "bacterial SSU rRNA". It matches the Rfam family "Bacterial small subunit ribosomal RNA", at positions 76 to 774 of the family's 1533-position model. Lineage: Bacteria; Pseudomonadati; Bacteroidota; Flavobacteriia; Flavobacteriales; Weeksellaceae. The record is from RNAcentral.
UCUUUCGGGAACUAGAGACCGGCGCACGGGUGCGUAACGCGUAUGCAACUUGCCUUACUGAAAAGGAUAGCCCUUCGAAAGGAGGAUUAAUACUUUAUAACAGAUUUAAUGGCAUCAUUAGAUUUUGAAAGAUUUAUCGCAGUAGGAUAGGCAUGCGUAAGAUUAGUUAGUUGGUGAGGUAACGGCUCACCAAGACGAUGAUCUUUAGGGGGCCUGAGAGGGUGAACCCCCACACUGGUACUGAGACACGGACCAGACUCCUACGGGAGGCAGCAGUGAGGAAUAUUGGACAAUGGGUGGAAGCCUGAUCCAGCCAUCCCGCGUGUAGGAUGACGGCCUUAUGGGUUGUAAACUACUUUUAUCUGGGGAUAAACCUACUUACGUGUAAGUAGCUGAAGGUACCAGAAGAAUAAGCACCGGCUAACUCCGUGCCAGCAGCCGCGGUAAUACGGAGGGUGCAAGCGUUAUCCGGAUUUAUUGGGUUUAAAGGGUCCGUAGGCGGAUUAAUCAGUCAGUGGUGAAAUCUCAUAGCUUAACUAUGAAACUGCCAUUGAUACUGUUAGUCUUGAGUGAUGUUGAAGUUGCUGGAAUGUGUAGUGUAGCGGUGAAAUGCUUAGAUAUUACGCAGAACACCAAUUGCGAAGGCAGGUGACUAAACAUCAACUGACGCUGAUGGACGAAAGCGUGGGGAGCGAACA